RNAcentral lists this ribosomal RNA (420 nucleotides) under uncultured eukaryote. RNAcentral describes it as "SSU rRNA". It matches the Rfam family "Eukaryotic small subunit ribosomal RNA", at positions 592 to 1018 of the family's 1831-position model. The record is from RNAcentral.
CAGUAGCGUAUAUUAAAGCUGUUGCAGUUAAAAAGCUCGUAGUUGGAUCUUGGGCCCAGGCCUGCGGUCCGCCGUGAGGCGUGUACUGCAGUCCUGGCCUUCCUCUCGGUUUUCGCCCGGUGCCCUUAAUUGAGUGCCAGGAGAGGCCGGAACGUUUACUUUGAAAAAUUGGAGUGUUCAAAGCAGGCCUCGCGCCUGAACAGCAGAGCAUGGAAUAAUGGAAUAGGACCUCGGUUCUAUUGCGUUGGUUUUCGGAACUCGAGGUAAUGAUUAAGAGGGACUGACGGGGGCAUUCGUAUUGCGGUGUGAGAGGUGAAAUUCUUGGAUCGCCGCAAGACGACCGACUGCGAAAGCAUUUGCCAAGAAUGUUUUCAUUAAUCAAGAACGAAAGUUAGAGGUUCGAAGACGAUUAGAUACCGU